AGCUGACCAACUAGAGGAAGGAAAGGAGGAAAGGAGAGAGGGCGAGAAGCGGAGGAGAGAAGGAAGAAAUGGGUUUUCCCCAACCCGUAUACCCGCGCGACCCGCGACUUCCAAUCGGCGGGUUUUCGCCAUUUUCGUCCAAUUUUCCGACGAAUUGAAUCAAGGACCUAAAACAAAGCCCAAGAGGUAAUUGAGGCGUUGGAACAAGUUUGAAGGUCGAAUUGGAAACACCCAAUUCUAGGGUUCUUCACGGUUUUGGUGAAAUUGAAGCACUUCCAGGCCAAAUUGGCCUUGGCCUCAGGUAUGAAAGUUAUCCGACCGUUGGAUGGCGCUAAUCUUCAUGAUGCCUUGAUGUGUGGUGCUAGGGAGUUGUUGGGCGAACUCCAGGUUCAAGUUAGCAGAGCUUUGGUGGCCACGAGGAAUCCAACGGUGUUCUGACAGAAUUCACAAAAGUAGGACUCACCCUCGG
This 469-nucleotide small RNA is filed under the name Malus domestica (apple). Its description in RNAcentral is "sRNA MD04G0081100". Lineage: Eukaryota; Viridiplantae; Streptophyta; Magnoliopsida; Rosales; Rosaceae. The record is from RNAcentral.